GGAAUCUUCCACAAUGGGCGAAAGCCUGAUGGAGCAACGCCGCGUGGGUGAAGAAGGUCUUCGGAUCGUAAAACCCUGUUGUUAGAGAAGAAAGUGCGUGAGAGUAACUGUUCACGUUUCGACGGUAUCUAACCAGAAAGCCACGGCUAACUACGUGCCAGCAGCCGCGGUAAUACGUAGGUGGCAAGCGUUAUCCGGAUUUAUUGGGCGUAAAGGGAACGCAGGCGGUCUUUUAAGUCUGAUGUGAAAGCCUUCGGCUUAACCGGAGUAGUGCAUUGGAAACUGGGAGACUUGAGUGCAGAAGAGGAGAGUGGAACUCCAUGUGUAGCGGUGAAAUGCGUAGAUAUAUGGAAGAACACCAGUGGCGAAAGCGGCUCUCUGGUCUGUAACUGACGCUGAGGUUCGAAAGCGUGGGUAGCAAACAGGA
RNAcentral lists this unclassified non-coding RNA (427 nucleotides) under plant metagenome. RNAcentral's name for it is "partial contains 5.8S ribosomal RNA, internal transcribed spacer 2, and large subunit ribosomal RNA". It matches the Rfam family "Bacterial small subunit ribosomal RNA", at positions 358 to 777 of the family's 1533-position model. The record is from RNAcentral.